Bos taurus (domestic cattle) is the source of this 1242-nucleotide long non-coding RNA. The record is from Ensembl. Lineage: Eukaryota; Metazoa; Chordata; Mammalia; Artiodactyla; Bovidae.
GGAAGAGAGGGUGUGCAAAAACAGGACAAGGAGAUGACUAGGAUCACCCAGUGAAAGCCAGAAUGUCCAUAGGUGGGCCUGUCUUGCAAAAGCUGAGGUCCUUGCAGAGCUAUUUCUGCCAUAGGAGGCCUUCAUUAUGCAAGGCAGAGAGACAGAGGCUGAAAUACUGUGGCCUCUCCCUUUCUCCCCAACCCCCAUCUUCAAAGGCUUCAAUCAUGGGAACCCCAGCCUAUGGGGAUCAGCACCUCAUUUCAGAGCAAAGAAGUGGGGACUGGAGGAAUAGAUCUGAAGGCAAAAAAGACUGACUGCUGGGCAGCCACUCUCAAAGAAAUCAGAGUUUGCAGCACCGGUCCUGUACCUGUGGCAGCAUCAGUAAACCUGAGUUGAGCAGCAGCUGUGUUCCUUAACCCAAGCACACACCCCUCAGUUUGUCUCCCUCAGCAUCUGCCCCUCUUCUCCCAUCACAUUACUCGCCUGAGCCACAUAGUCAUGAAUCACAGAGACUGAGCAUCACAGGAUGCUGGGGCUGGAGAAGACUGCAUAGACCAGCUGGUCCACCUUAGCACAUUAGAGAGAAAAGUGAAGCCUGAAGAGAGGCGGGCUUACUUAAUUUGCUCGGUAGCAGAGUCAAGCUGCCCACUCCAGUACUCCUGCCUGGAAAAUCCCAUGGAUGAAGGAGCCUGGUAGGCUGCAGUCCAUGGCGUCGCUAAGAGUCAGACACGACUGAGCAACUUCCCUUCACUUUCAUGCAUUGGAGAAGGAAAUGGCAACCCACUCCAGUGUUCUUGCCUGGAGAAUCCCAGGGACGGGGGACCCUGAUGGGCUGCCGUCUAUGGGGUCACACAGAGUCGAACACGACUGAAGCGACUUAGCAGCAGCAGCAGCAGCAGUCAAGCUGCCUUUUCAGAUUUUAGUUCCGGGCCAGAGAUCGAAUCCAUGCCCUUAGCAGAAGUGCGAAGUCAACCACUGGACCUCCAGGGAAGUUCCAGUAAGUUGAAUUUUACCAGCAAGCAUUCUGAAACUUCAGAUUUACCAAUGAGCCAGAACUAUUGCAGCCACCUUGCAACCAUGAGGCAACAAGCAGGAGAAUGAAAGCUAAUUUUCUGAGAAUAACAACACUGGAAGAUAGAAAUUCCUUCUAUCCUUGAUGGCAUGGUUCAGGGGCCCCAACCUCUACAAUCUAAUGCCUGAUGAUCUAAGGUGGAGCUGAUAUAAUAAUAAAGUGCACAAGAACUGUAAUGC